This is a non-coding RNA of Callithrix jacchus (white-tufted-ear marmoset), 4789 nucleotides long. The record is from RefSeq and is a predicted model, not a curated record. Lineage: Eukaryota; Metazoa; Chordata; Mammalia; Primates; Cebidae.
UCCGCGCUUCAAAGGCGGAGUGCGGGGCUGUGGGAGAAAGCAAGAGCCUCAGGCUGUCGCCCGGCGACGGACGGCUGAGGCCUUCGUAUUCUUAGCACUUUUAAAAUAUAAAACAAACUUAUCUUCCCCGUCUGAAGAAGGGGAGCAUGUUUCUGAGUACUCUGGGGCGCGCUGCCUCCCCCCAAACGCGAAUGGUUCGCUCCAAGCGGGAGGGGAGGAGCAGAUUAGUUGUUUAGGGUAAAUUGGGCCAGUCCCAGAUCGGCGGCGCAUGCGCCCGCAGACCCCGUAACCGAGGGCGAGGAGGGGCCUAGGGGAGCUUUGCCAAACGCGGAAGUGGAGCUCUGGCUUCCCGGGGACAUACGAGUCAAGGUCCCCAGAGCUGUCGCUCUAGCUCCUGGACGAUGUCUGGGAGCCUUUCUUCCCAAACUGCCGGCUACCCGGGAAUGUCUCUUCCUAGUCCCCCCAAAUCCCAAGCAACUCUUCCAGUUCCACCCGGUGAACUGGUCUCUUGAUAGGAACUUCUGGGAAAUGCCCCUCCCCCAGCCCCUUGGUCAAUUCCUUGUUUCUUCUCCCCACCACCGGUGUGGGGGAGUUCCUUGUCUCCCCACUCACAACCACAGAGCUACAAGUCCAUUCCCUAUGCCUAGGCUAGGAGAGCCGCACUUCUUCCUACAGCUGACAGGUUUGGUUUUUGGAGGGGAAAGGGGAACUGUUUCGGAAUCAGUAAUGGAAAUCGCCAGCCGUGAACAAAGAAACCGAUUACUGAUGACUAAGUUCAACGCGGAUGCAACAUUCUCCAGACCUCUCGGAGGGAUGACCCAUCGCUGAGACCCUUGUGAGCGAACUCUAAAUUCCUGCUACUUCCAAGAAGACUUCCUGGCUCUUAGGAAUAACUGCCAUAUAUACCCUGCUGGUCUGACGGGGAUAGGAGAGCUUCAGAGAGAGUAUUAUCUAGAUUAAUUUGAUUACCAAAUGUUGCUAUCUUCUUUAUAUACCAAAUCACAUUUCUGUUUGCAUUCUCUGUGGGUUUGUUAACAUUGAUAUUUCGUUUGACCUCUAAAGAGCAAGGAUCACAUUAAGCUUAGUAUGCCACAGAUGACGGUGAAGUGAAUGAUUGCAAAAAUCAAGCCACUUAAAGCCGAAACACCCCGAAACUUAUUUAUUAUGCACAGUUUUUGUGGAUUUUCCAAAGCCUUCAAUAAGUAUACCUGUAAGAAAGUUCAUAGAAAGGCGGGUGCAGUGGCUCACGCCUGUAAUCCCAGCACUUUGGGAGGCCAAGACGGGUGGAUCACCUUAGAUCAGGAGACUGAGACCACCAGCCUGGCCAACAUGGUGAAACCCCGCUCUAGCUUAAAAAAAAAAAAUUAGCUACUCGAGAGUCUGAGGCAGGAGAAUCGCUUGAACCCAGAAGGCAGAGGUUGCAGUGAGCAGAGGCCAUUGCACUCCAGUCUGGGCAACAAGAACAAGAGAGCGAAACUCGGUCUCAAAAAAAAGAAAAAGAAAAAAGUGCAUAGAAAGGAUGAAGCCAUACAGCACACCUUGCUCUCAUUGGAUUCAUAUUACCCUUAUAUCUUCACUUAAACCGACAUGAAAUUGUCACAUAUAUGAGAUACAGCCUCUGAGUUCAACAAAGAUUAAGUGGGACUGUCUCUCUAUUGGCAUCUUGAUAAUUUUAUGUACAGCAAAGGAAACUUGGCAACUAAAAAGAGAAUUUAACACGACAUGUGAUUGUCAUCUUCCAAACUGCUUUCCCACCUGUUUGCCAGUUAUUCAACAAACAUUUAUUGAGUACUCAGUAUAUGCAAGGAAUUUCCACGCACUCUGGAGACUAAAAGGAUCAAUAAAAUGUAGCAUUCACUAACAAGUCCCUACAUAGAAGUCAGAUAAUUUGGUUCCAGUCUUCUCAGACUUCAUUUUCCACCUUUCUCUAUUCACCCUGCAAAGCAGACACUGGUUGCCAUUCCUCAAACACACCUUGCUUUCUCACAUCUCCAUUCCUUUGUUGUCAAUGUUCCUGACUGCCUCAGCUGCCUUUCCUUUUACACAUACACACGGAAAUAAUCUUAUACAACCCAAGGGCACAGAGGGCAGUAAGAUCUCUUGAAGGACUGAAAUAGAGAACUAAUAUAUCAACAGGAAGCCAAGUGUUAGGCUUUUUUCUAUUUUUUUUUUUUCUCUGAUCACAUGUUCUUCCAUCUCUGCUUCUCUCUACAAAGCUGCUUUAUAAUCUCUGCAGACCUGUUUUCACUGCUUUUUUGGGAACAUAAUCCAGAUUUACCCAGCCUCACUUCAGGAACCAACAGACUAAUUAGUAUCUGAAUCCCAAUCCCCAGGAGAAAGAAGUUGAUUGGUUCAAUUUAUGUCAGCUUGUGUACUCUUGGUACAAUCACCUUUGACCAACAGGGCGAUUUGUAGCCAGGACUCUUUGUUUUGUAAUGCAAACAUGGCUGCCAGAACUCCAUCUUUGUAGGCUACGUUCUCAAAGAAAGUCAGUUCUGUACUUGGCAAAGAUUCCAGAAAAUGUCCAGCACAGACCAGAAAGGAAUAAAUCGCAGCUGAAAUUCAGAAGCAUAAAGAACAAUGGACAUGUUGAGGAUUUUCAAAAGACUAACUCCUACUUAAACAAUUUCAGACCUGAAUUUAAAUGGCUCUCCUUCCAAAAAGUCAUCACUGACCCAAGCCCCAAUCAAAAUUAGGUAGCCCCAUUAUUAUCUUAUAUGGUACUCUUUUUUCUGUACCUAUCGCAGUUUAUGAUUAAAUACAUAUUUGUGAGUCUCUUCUCCGAAGAAUCAUCUGUUUUGUUUACUAUGAUAUACACAAUACUCAAGGUGCAUUUGGGAGGCAUUCAAUAUUUGUUGCAUGAAAAAGGCACAAUAAUUUGUUAGUUAAUGUGAGACCCACAAAUGGAUUGGCAUCGUAGUUAGACGAUCCUGGCGGAAUAUCUCAGUCACCAACCCACCCUCCCUAGAAGAUAUUGAAGCUCACUGCUUUUUCCAGUUUUUUUCCUCUGAACUCAUUUAUCACAAGGCCGCCAGCUUUUUUGUCACACUGAGGUUGUAUGAGAUGUGCCACAAUAUUUAUCUGCUGCUUAUGAUGUUCUUCCCCAGCUAACUCUUUACUCUUAGUUCCCAGUGUCUCUAUCUGUAGAGCCCUUGAUCCAGUUCCUAUAACAAGCCCACUUAGCUGACUGAAAGCUCAGAGAGAGGACAUAAAAUUUCGGGGCAUCAUCAAAUUAGGGGAGCAAAGUGUGGGGGUAAUUGGCAGAAGUGCUUUUGUCGUAAUUGUCUUGACUGUUUUCUAUCAUGGAUUAUGUUCCAGAUGAACCUGUGAUGUGACUCCUGGGAGUAGUUUGCAAUAACCAUUGGCCCAAAAGGAGUCAUCUAUGUGCUCAGUGGGGUCUAGUAAAGGAUAAUAUUAAUUCUUCAGCAGCAGAGCUCUUGAAGUAAGAACUGAAGGUGUACAGAAAAGAGCCUGGUAUGAUUCAAGGUCAGGAGCACACAAUGGCUGCUUUCUUGGUAAGAAUUCAAAAGACCUACUUAGCCCUGGAAGACAUGACCAAAAAGAAGAGGCUUGUAGAGGCUUGAGAGAAAGCAGAUGAUCUUCCACUCUAAUUCUAAUCCGUAACCUCAAAAUUCGCUCUCAGUUCAAGCUUGUCUUCAUUAUAAUCCAUCCUAACCUGGUAUUAGCCCCAAUGUCCAAUCCAAACUCUAGCCUUAAUCCUAAUCCUAAUAUUAUUUGUAAAAUUUAAUCUCAGAUCCCAACUCUAAUUCUAUGAGCUUAACAAAGGCUCCUUGCCUUGCCACUGAGUUAUUUUCCCUAGCUCCUUUUUCUUGUGCCCCUUGACCCUGACUGACUCCUUGGAACAGAGAACACUAUAAUAUCCUGGACCCCUGGAGAGAAUAAGAGCCAAUUUCAAUAACCCAGGUUGGAUCCAGGGCCUUGGGCUGCCAGAAAAGAGAAAGUGGGGCAUCUGUCACCAGAGCAGGAGGCAGAGACCCUGCCCAAUCACAUUUCCUAUUGCCUAAUUCAGGGACAGCUAAGCCUCUGAAAGUCCAAAAAACAUGCCCUCCAACUCACCUAUGUACACUCAGGAAUGUGAGGUACAGUUGGCCUACAGCGGAAUACCUGAGACCCCUCUGCAAACAAUAUGAUUAGACAAGUGGCUUUUAUACUGUGUUCUCAGAGAGCAAGAAUUCUGAGUUUUGCUCUCCUCUUUCAUUUAAGUUCGGUUUUCCAAGGGGGUGAGGGUGGAUUUUUUUCAAAAGGGACUGAACCAGAUCCUCUCUAAGGUUCCUUCUGGCCCUUGAGUUUUCUGAUGUGCGGUUGAUUCUUUUAGUCACUUAUGGUCCAGUUGGCAUGGAUAAACUCUCAGAGCCAAGGGAAAAGAAGGGCAACCAAGCAUACCGUCUCCAGCCCAUCUCAGGAAACUAAAAAUAAAUUAAAUAAAAUGAAGAGUGCGACGGGGAGGAGAGGAGAAAAUGCUGCCAUUUCACAUCCCGUGUUCCUCGUGUUCACGAAGCAGUUGCUGAUUUCCCUGCUUCUCACACCCAUCUUGGUGUGAAAUUUGAUUUUGCUGACUUUUAAAUUUCUUUUCGAGAAUGGAAAUAAUUAUUUUUUUCCAGAAAUACUUGACCUUAGUGGGGGAAAAGAAAUUCAAACAAUGAGAAAGCAAAAGUUCUCCCGAAUACCGUCACCCCCCCAGAGAUACCCUUUAUUAACCGUUUGGUGUAUAGCCCUCGAGGCUUUUCAUUUUUGUAUGGUCAUAUAAAUGGAAUCAUGUAAUACAGUA